GAUGAACGCUGGCGGCGUGCUUAACACAUGCAAGUCGAACGGAAAGGCUCCUGCUUGCUGGGGUACUCGAGUGGCGAACGGGUGAGUAACACGUGGGUGAUCUGCCCUGCACUUCGGGAUAAGCCUGGGAAACUGGGUCUAAUACCGGAUAGGACCACAUUUUGGAUGGUUUGUUGGAAAGUUUUUCGGUGUGGGAUGAGCUCGCGGCCUAUCAGCUUGUUGGUGGGGUAAUGGCCUAGCAAGGCGUCGACGGGUAGCCGGCCUGAGAGGGUGUACGGCCACAUUGGGACUGAGAUACGGCCCAGACUCCUACGGGAGGCAGCAGUGGGGAAUAUUGCACAAUGGGCGCAAGCCUGAUGCAGCGACGCCGCGUGGGGGAUGACGGCCUUCGGGUUGUAAACUCCUUUCGCUAGGGACGAAGCGCAAGUGACGGUACCUGGAGAAGAAGCACCGGCUAACUACGUG
Molecule: ribosomal RNA, 465 nt
Filed under: uncultured bacterium
Lineage: Bacteria
Description: partial 16S ribosomal RNA
Rfam family: Bacterial small subunit ribosomal RNA
Source: RNAcentral